RNAcentral lists this ribosomal RNA (678 nucleotides) under uncultured bacterium. RNAcentral's name for it is "bacterial SSU rRNA". It matches the Rfam family "Bacterial small subunit ribosomal RNA", at positions 8 to 660 of the family's 1533-position model. The record is from RNAcentral.
AGAGUUUGAUCCUGGCUCAGGACGAACGCUGGCGGCGUGCUUAACACAUGCAAGUCGAACGAGGCUUUCGAAGCUUGUUUUGAAAGCCGAGUGGCAAACGGGUGAGUAACGCGUAAACAACCUGCCUUCAGGAUGGGGACAACAGACGGAAACGACUGCUAAUACCGAAUACGAUUCCUCCGGCGCAUGCCGGAAGAAAGAAAGGGUGGCCUCUGGAACAAGCUAUCGCCUGAAGAGGGGUUUGCGUCUGAUUAGGCAGUUGGCGGGGUAACGGCCCACCAAACCGACGAUCAGUAGCCGGUCUGAGAGGAUGAACGGCCACACUGGAACUGAGACACGGUCCAGACUCCUACGGGAGGCAGCAGUGGGGAAUCUUCCGCAAUGGACGAAAGUCUGACGGAGCAACGCCGCGUGAGUGAUGACGGCCUUCGGGUUGUAAAGCUCUUUGAUCCGGGACGAACGGUCUCUGCGUCAAUACCGCAGAGAAAUGACGGUACCGGAAGAACAAGCCACGGCUAACUACGUGCCAGCAGCCGCGGUAAUACGUAGGUGGCAAGCGUUGUCCGGAAUUAUUGGGCGUAAAGCGCGCGCAGGCGGCCCUUUAAGUCCAUCUUAAAAGCGUGGGGCUUAACCCCAUGAUGGGAUGGAAACUGGAGAGCUGGAGUAUCGGAGAGGAAA